UUUCACAGAGGGAUAGCCCAGAGAAAUUUGGAUUAAUACCUCAUGGUAUUAUAGAGUGGCAUCACUUUAUAAUUAAAGUCACAACGGUGAAAGAUGAGCAUGCGUCCCAUUAGCUAGAUGGUAAGGUAACGGCUUACCAUGGCUACGAUGGGUAGGGGUCCUGAGAGGGAGAUCCCCCACACUGGUACUGAGACACGGACCAGACUCCUACGGGAGGCAGCAGUGAGGAAUAUUGGUCAAUGGGCGCAAGCCUGAACCAGCCAUGCCGCGUGCAGGAUGACGGUCCUAUGGAUUGUAAACUGCUUUUGUACGAGAAGAAACAACAUUACGUGUAAUGUCUUGACGGUAUCGUAAGAAUAAGGAUCGGCUAACUCCGUGCCAGCAGCCGCGGUAAUACGGAGGAUCCGAGCGUUAUCCGGAAUCAUUGGGUUUAAAGGGUCCGUAGGCGGUUUAGUAAGUCAGUGGUGAAAGCCCAUCGCUCAACGGUGGAACGGUCAUUGAUACUGCUAGACUUGAAUUAUUGGGAAGUAACUAGAAUAUGUAGUGUAGCGGUGAAAUGCUUAGAGAUUACAUGGAAUACCAAUUGCGAAGGCAGGUUACUACCAAUGGAUUGACGCUGAUGGACGAAAGCGUGGGGAGCGAACAGGAUUAGAUACCCUGGUAGUCCACGCCGUAAACGAUGGAUACUAGCUGUUGGGCGCAAGUUCAGUGGCUAAGCGAAGGUGAUAAGUAUCCCACCUGGGGAGUACGGGCGCAAGCCUGAAACUCAAAGGAAUUGACGGGGGCCCGCACAAGCGGUGGAGCAUGUGGUUUAAUUCGAUGAUACGCGAGGAACCUUACCAAGGCUUAAAUGUAGAUUGACCGAUUUGGAAACAGAUCUUUCGCAAGACAAUUUACAAGGUGCUGCAUGGUUGUCGUCAGCUCGUGCCGUGAGGUGUCAGGUUAAGUCCUAUAACGAGCGCAACCCCUGUUGUUAGUUGCCAGCGAGUCAUGUCGGGAACUCUAACGAGACUGCCA
Molecule: ribosomal RNA, 1017 nt
Filed under: uncultured Flavobacterium sp.
Lineage: Bacteria; Pseudomonadati; Bacteroidota; Flavobacteriia; Flavobacteriales; Flavobacteriaceae
Description: bacterial SSU rRNA
Rfam family: Bacterial small subunit ribosomal RNA
Source: RNAcentral